CUCAGUGGUGUAGUUGGUUCAUCACGUUCGACUGUAAUUGUCUCAGCAUUGCUGCCAUCGAAAGGUCCCUAGUUCGAUUCUGGGAGCGGAGA
Molecule: transfer RNA, 92 nt
Filed under: Elsinoe ampelina
Lineage: Eukaryota; Fungi; Ascomycota; Dothideomycetes; Myriangiales; Elsinoaceae
Description: tRNA-Tyr
Source: RNAcentral